Molecule: unclassified non-coding RNA, 267 nt
Filed under: Hevea brasiliensis (rubber tree)
Lineage: Eukaryota; Viridiplantae; Streptophyta; Magnoliopsida; Malpighiales; Euphorbiaceae
Source: RNAcentral
CAAGAAUGUCCAAUGAGUGGCCAUUUGUGCCAUUUGGAAAUCUUGCAUUUCCCAAAGCAAUAUGGCCUUUGAGAACUGCAGUAUAACAAGCUUUCUCAUGUGCUGAAGGUAAUCCAAAAUGGACUGUCCGCGUGAUAUCGGUUGUUCCGUCCAAAUACUGAGCUCCCGAGUCAAAAAGAUAGAUGCUUUCAGGAUCCAACUCAGCACAUGUCUCUGCUUGUGGUCCAUAAUGAAUAAUUGCAGCAUUUGAACCAACAGAUGAAAUAG